Molecule: long non-coding RNA, 2047 nt
Organism: Homo sapiens (human)
Lineage: Eukaryota; Metazoa; Chordata; Mammalia; Primates; Hominidae
Gene: TPT1-AS1
Product: TPT1 antisense RNA 1
Source: Ensembl
CGUGGGAGGAGGCCAACUCUCGGGGCGCUCCCUAGCCCUGGGUGGGUGGAGCGGGGGAAGCGGAGUACGUUGGACCCGGCUCCGCCCUACCCCACGGGGCCGCCUGGAGAGGUGCUGGGAGCUGGGUGGAGCUUAGAGGAAUUAAACUUUGGCCCUGCGCCUCGUCCAGCCUAGGUUCCACCCUUUUCUGGGAACGGUCUUACUCUGUGACCCACGCUGGAGUGCAAUGGCACCAUCACGACUUACUGAAGCCUCCACUUCCCGGGCUCAAGUGAUUCUCACACCUCAGCCUCCUGAGUAGCUGAGACCACAGUUUACACCCCGCCACUCCUGAGCACCGCACACCGGCUUCCUCCCAGUCCCUCAUCUGAGAACUCAUGAAGCCACUUGGAAUCCCUCUCUGCUUUGCCUGGCUCAUUCCAUGUCAAUUUCAGAUCUUCACUUCAGGUCAGCUCCAAGGAGGCUAUCCUUGCCCAUCUUCCUAAAAUAGAGCUCUCAAAACCUGGCUGUUUUCCUUCAGAGCACUGGCCUCCAAUUGCUCCGGUAGAUUGCAAAUGACCUGCUUUCUUUCUGUUCCCGGGCGUUUGGACCCCUGUCUUGGACCGCUGUCGGAUAGUAAAUCCCAAGUAAGGUACCUGCCGUCGGCAGAUUUGAGCUUUCUUCUUGGACACCUAAUACCCAGAGUCCUCCAGGCUCCGGUAGAUUGCAAAUGACCUGCUUUCUUUCUGUUCCCGGGCGGCAUCGGACCCGUCGGAGAGUAAAUCCCAAGUAAGGUACCUGCCGUUGGCAGAUUUGAGCUUUCUUCUUGGACACCUAAUACCCACAGUCCUCCAGGCUCCGGUAGAUUGCAAAUGACCUGCUUUCUUUCUGUUCCCGGGUGGCAUCGACCCGUCGGAGAGUAAAUCCCAAGUAAGGUACCUGCCGUUGGCAGAUUUGAGCUUUCUUCUUGGACACCUAAUACCCACAGUCCUCCAGUAAAUCCCAAGCAAGGUACCUGCCGUCAGCAGAUUUGAGCUUUCUUCUUGGACACCUAAUACCCACAGUCCUCCAGUAACUCCCAAGUAAGGUACCUGCCGUCGGCAGAUUGGAGCUUUCUUCUUGGAGACCUAAUACCCACAGUCCUCCAGAAAAACAAACAAAGACAUGGAUUUACUGUGCAUAUUAGCAGAUCCAUACUGGAAAAUGCAUGGAGGUUUCAUAUACACCACUUACAGGUUUCCAAAGCCACAAUUUCCUUCAUAUGUUCAAACUCUUCAGGAUGCAGAAAGGCAGUGAACUCCUCCGGAGUAGCUGUCAGGUCACCAUUGAGGUCUGCAGCUUUGAAUCUUCUCUCAUCACGUGGCAGCAUCUUUUUAAAGGUGUGAUGAUCUGAAGAAUCAUGAAACUCUGCGGGGUUUCCUAGGUUUUCAGCUCCUCAGUAGUGACAAAGCCAUACCCAUCAUUGUCGAUUCGAUCAACAAUCUUCCCUAGCCUCUCCUUGCUCUCGUCCGGGGUGAGCUCGUCGAAGUUCUUGGAGUCCUCCUUGCCCAGGAAGGCCUCGUGGUCGUACUGGAAGCUCUGGUUGUCCUCAGGGGGCCGCUCGCCCAGCUCCGAGUCGGGCCGCACCACGCGCUCUUUGCGCACCGUGGGCUUGGCCCGCAGAACCCGCGGCGCCAGCACCAGCGCCAGCAGCAGCCCCAGGGCUAACCCCAGGCGGCCACCGCGCGCCAUCGUCCCGAGGAGAGGGCGGCCGGGAGGGAGACGCUGAGCGAGCGACAACAGCGGCAGCUCGGGAAUGGGGGCUCGGAGCGCGGCGGCCAAGUUUUAUGUUAUGUAUAUUUUACAAGUAAAAAAAUUUUUUCACCUCAGCCUGAACUGAACACUAGCUGACAGACGUUUUGAUUUCUUUGACCAUCACGGAAUCGUGGCCAAGCGCGGUGGCUCACAUCUGUAAUCCCAACACUUUGGGAGGUCAAGAUGGGCGGAUUGCUUGAAUCCAGGUGUUUGAGAUCAGCCUGGGCAACAUGACAAAACCCUGUUUCUAGUAAAAAUACAAAAAUUAACCAGG